This 253-nucleotide ribosomal RNA is filed under the name uncultured bacterium. RNAcentral's name for it is "partial 16S ribosomal RNA". It matches the Rfam family "Bacterial small subunit ribosomal RNA", at positions 524 to 776 of the family's 1533-position model. The record is from RNAcentral.
UACGAAGGGGGCUAGCGUUGUUCGGAAUCACUGGGCGUAAAGGGCGCGUAGGCGGCCGUUCAAGUCGGGGGUGAAAGCCUGUGGCUCAACCACAGAAUUGCCUUCGAUACUGGACGGCUCGAGACCGGAAGAGGUCAGUGGAACUGCGAGUGUAGAGGUGAAAUUCGUAGAUAUUCGCAAGAACACCGGUGGCGAAGGCGGCCCACUGGUCCGGUACUGACGCUGAGGUGCGAAAGCGUGGGGAGCAAACAGG